RNAcentral lists this ribosomal RNA (521 nucleotides) under uncultured bacterium. RNAcentral's name for it is "bacterial SSU rRNA". It matches the Rfam family "Bacterial small subunit ribosomal RNA", at positions 988 to 1509 of the family's 1533-position model. The record is from RNAcentral.
CCAGAGAACUUAGCAGAGAUGCUUUGGUGCCUUCGGGAACUCUGAGACAGGCGCUGCAUGGCUGUCGUCAGCUCGUGUUGUGAAAUGUUGGGUUAAGUCCCGCAACGAGCGCAACCCCUAUCCUUUGUUGCCAGCGAUUCGGUCGGGAACUCAAAGGAGACUGCCGGUGAUAAACCGGAGGAAGGUGGGGAUGACGUCAAGUCAUCAUGGCCUUUACGAGUAGGGCUACACACGUGCUACAAUGGCGCAUACAAAGAGAAGCGACCUCGCGAGAGCAAGCGGACCUCAUAAAGUGCGUCGUAGUCCGGAUUGGAGUCUGCAACUCGACUCCAUGAAGUCGGAAUCGCUAGUAAUCGUAGAUCAGAAUGCUACGGUGAAUACGUUCCCGGGCCUUGUACACACCGCCCGUCACACCAUGGGAGUGGGUUGCAAAAGAAGUAGAUAGCUUAACCUUCGGGAGGGCGUUUACCACUUUGUGAUUCAUGACUGGGGUGAAGUCGUAACAAGGUAAGCGUAGCGAG